RNAcentral lists this ribosomal RNA (510 nucleotides) under uncultured delta proteobacterium. RNAcentral describes it as "bacterial SSU rRNA". It matches the Rfam family "Bacterial small subunit ribosomal RNA", at positions 44 to 526 of the family's 1533-position model. The record is from RNAcentral. Lineage: Bacteria; Deltaproteobacteria.
GUGCNUAACCACAAUCCAAGUCGAACGCGAAAGGUACNUUCGGGUACUGAGUAAAGNGGCGCACGGGUGAGUAACACGUGGAUAAUCUGCCUGAUAAUCUGGGAUAACAUCUCGAAAGAGAUGCUAAUACCAGAUAAGCCCNCAGUCUNUUNGGAGGCAGCGGGAAAANAUGGCCUCUUCUUGAAAGCUAUUGUUAUCAGAUGAGUCCGCGGUCCAUUAGCUAGUUGGUGGGGUAACGGCCUACCAAGGCGACGAUGGAUAGCUGGUUUGAGAGAAUGAUCAGCCACNCUGGAACUGAGACACGGUCCAGACUCCUACGGGAGGCAGCAGUGGGGAAUUUUGCGCAAUGGGCGAAAGCCUGACGCAGCAACGCCGCGUGAGUGAUGAAGGUUUUCGGAUCGUAAAGCUCUGUCAAGAGGGAAGAAACCUCCAACGGCCAAUACCCGUUGGGAUUGACGGUACCUCUAGAGGAAGCACCGGCUAACUCCGUGCCAGCAGCCGCGGUAAUAC